UCCUACGGGAGGCAGCAGUGGGGGAUAUUGCACAAUGGGGGAAACCCUGAUGCAGCGACGCCGCGUGAGUGAAGAAGUAUUUCGGUAUGUAAAGCUCUAUCAGCAGGGAAGAAGAUGACAGUACCUGAGUAAGAAGCCCCGGCUAACUACGUGCCAGCAGCCGCGGUAAUACGUAGGGGGCAAGCGUUAUCCGGAUUUACUGGGUGUAAAGGGAGCGUAGGCGGUUUAGCAAGUCAGAAGUGAAAGCCCGGGGCUCAACUCCGGGACUGCUUUUGAAACUGUUGAACUAGAUUGCAGGAGAGGUA
Molecule: ribosomal RNA, 305 nt
Filed under: uncultured bacterium
Lineage: Bacteria
Description: bacterial SSU rRNA
Rfam family: Bacterial small subunit ribosomal RNA
Source: RNAcentral